CAGCAGCCACGGGAAUACGUAGGGUGCAAGCGUUAAUCGGAAUUACUGGGCGUAAAGCGUGCGCAGGCGGUUAUAUAAGACAGAUGUGAAAUCCCCGGGCUCAACCUGGGAACUGCAUUUGUGACUGUAUAGCUAGAGUACGGCAGAGGGGGAUGGAAUUCCGCGUGUAGCAGUGAAAUGCGUAGAUAUGCGGAGGAACACCGAUGGCGAAGGCAAUCCCCUGGGCCUGUACUGACGCUCAUGCACGAAAGCGUGGGGAGCAAACAGGAUUAGAUACCUCAGUAGUCCCUGUCUCUUAUAC
This 301-nucleotide ribosomal RNA is filed under the name uncultured bacterium. Its description in RNAcentral is "partial 16S ribosomal RNA". It matches the Rfam family "Bacterial small subunit ribosomal RNA", at positions 509 to 807 of the family's 1533-position model. The record is from RNAcentral.